UACGAAGGGGGCUAGCGUUGUUCGGAUUUACUGGGCGUAAAGCGCACGUAGGCGGAUUGUUAAGUCAGGGGUGAAAUCCUGGAGCUCAACUCCAGAACUGCCUUUGAUACUGGCAAUCUUGAGUCCGGAAGAGGUGAGUGGAACUCCUAGUGUAGAGGUGGAAUUCGUAGAUAUUAGGAAGAACACCAGUGGCGAAGGCGGCUCACUGGUCCGGUACUGACGCUGAGGUGCGAAAGCGUGGGGAGCAAACAGG
Molecule: ribosomal RNA, 253 nt
Filed under: uncultured bacterium
Lineage: Bacteria
Also listed under: 1 other name
Description: partial 16S ribosomal RNA
Rfam family: Bacterial small subunit ribosomal RNA
Source: RNAcentral